GAGUACACACUGCUGGCUCACAGUGAGGUUUUCAUUAAUCAUCACCCCUAAUAUUUCUCCGUAGGGCUGUUCUCAGUCCCUUCUCCAUCCAACCUGUGAUGCUCAGAGAAGCUGUGGCUGCCCCUGGAUCCUUGGAAGUGUCCAAGACCAGCAGAAAGUAACAGCAUCUGAGUACUGAAUUCUCAAGCAGAAGUCAGGGAGAAGUGCUGCCACACAGAGGCAGAGUUGAGGCUGCUUCUAAAGGGAAGGAGUGAAGGAAGAAAAUCUUUUUUGGUUAGAAAUUACCUGGAUUUCCUGCUGGGGACACCCCAUCACCCUUCAAGGCUUUUUCCUUGUCCAAGAACUCAUAUUUUUGGUUGUUUUCCUAAGAGCUGCUGGGUUUGAUACAGGAUGAAGGAUGAUGAAAUAAGAGAGGCUUGUGAAAACAAGAAAUCAUCUUUUCUCGAUGAUGUCUGUGCCUCAUAAACUCAGAUGCUGCAGCAUCUUUUUAUGUCCUGAGGAUGAGCUGAACACUAAACCAGAUGAACAAGCUGCAGGAGCCCAGCACUUGCCCACCUGGGGCUGACCUUUUGAAGGACCACUUGAGGAGAGUGGAGGCUUGGCCAGGUGAUGAUUCCAAGCUCUGCAGUCCCUGGAUCAGGUACAGCAUCACAGCCCUGACUUCAUUUACAGCUCCUGCAUUUCUGAAAUGCCAAGAGAUUAUGCAGAGAGCUUUCCUGAGUGUGAUCAUGUGAGGCAAAGAGACAUGAAGUCAUUGUCCUAAAGCCCAAGGUGAAACCAGGCUGUCCCAAAAACUCCCAGCCAGGCCUGGAGCUGCAUUUUGUAGUGCUGCAGGAAGAACAACUGAUCCUGGCUAAUUUUUUCUAGAUGGUUUUGUUAAGGUGAAGGGGAUUUUGUGGUCAUACCAACACACAACCACAAUUUGAGCAAGGUUUGGGUUACAAAAUUACCAGAUGUCUGUGAAUUUCAUGAGUUGUCCAGUUAGAGUGGGCUGUUUCCUGGCUUCAUCCUUUUGGCAAAGCUGGCAUCCAGAAUUCCACUCAGAGCAGUUUUCUGGCCAUCAAGGUUAAAAAAAUAGAAGUCAAGAUGUAAUUAUUUCUCUGUGGCUCAGGAUUCCAUUCCAGGAGCUCUAUCCAUACAUGAAUGCUUUUUUCCUUCAGAGAAAUCCUGUAUUUCACAGGAAAUAAUUUGUUCUUUUUUUCUGGUUUCUGGACUGAAACCCCCAGGGGUGACAGUGACUUCUCAGGAGCCACAUUGAGCUCGGUGCAUGUGAACAUUCCACACUGUCCAUGGCUGGGAAGGAUUAACAGAAUCCCCUCCUCCUGCUUGGACAUUCCCCCCUGGAAAGCACAUUCCCAUCCAACAGGCCCAUUUCCUUCUGCUCCACAGCACCUGAGCUGCCUCAGCCAGGCUUCACAGGGCCCACGGUGUUCAAGGGUUCAGAUUUUUGGGAGCAGAGAGUUUCCCAUCAUCGGCUCUGCACGAUCAGUUUGAUGCUUCCCACUUUGGAAAACCACUUGGAAGACCUCGGAAUUAUUCUCACAAUCCUCUCUGAGCUAAGAAACCCCAGUAACUGCUAAUUAUUCGGUAAUUAAUUGUCUCUCUGGGGUUGUAAUUGUGGGUGUGGCCUCUCCCCAUCAUUGUGUGGUCGUUAGGCAGCAGUUUCCUCAAUGCCCAAACAAAUUCUGUCUUUCCCAUUUGAUUGGAUUACAGAAUUGCCUUCAACUCUGUGGAGAUGAUGAGGAAAAGUGUGGUUCUGCACAGGAGUUACCAUGGGAACUAAAGUAGGGAGAGAUCUUUGUAAACCAGAAGUCAAGCAGACUGUGUUUCAGACAAUUAAUAUUGUCUCAUUCACGAGCUUUAACCCUUCUGUGUUCCAAUGUAGUUUUGACCUCUUUUUCCAUAUCAAAUGCUGUGUCAAAGAGGUUCUGCUCCCAU
Molecule: long non-coding RNA, 1938 nt
Organism: Cyanistes caeruleus (blue tit)
Lineage: Eukaryota; Metazoa; Chordata; Aves; Passeriformes; Paridae
Source: RefSeq, a predicted model, not a curated record